GUUGCUUUCUUUUCAAAACUGGAGAUGGAUUUGAAAGGCAGUGCAAAGUAAAGACUUUACAAAUAGUGCCAAUUACAGCAAAGGCACUACGGAUAGAAAGGUUGACUACUUUCUUUUGGAUCAAGAAUAUCAGGUUUUUGAAAUGUCCUUUUUUCUCUAUCAUUUUUUCAUUUUUAGAUGAAUUCCAGUUUCUUGUUUGUACUACUUUCUAGAUGUUGAUUUUCUUGUAUAUGCACACACAUUCACUUAUUGCCAUUAAUUCUAAGAGUUGUCAAUAGCUUGAAAUGCCCUUAAUUUUCUUAUUUAUCAUUCUUUUUCACCUUUGAAUGAACAUUAGUUUCUGUAGCAAAAUGUUUUAUUAUCUUCUUUUUUAGAUGUUAGUUUUCUUGUAUAUGCACAUGCAUUGAUUAAUUGCCAUCAUGUUUGCUUCAGCUAUAGAUUCUAUAACUAUGUUAAGAUGAACUUUUUAAUUUUAAGUAAGACUGGAUUGUUCAGUUCAAUUGUACUUAUACUUUCAAAGCAUUGAUCUUGCUGUAUAAAGAGUUAAUUUAUGCUUAUUUAAGAGGAGAUUUACCUUUCCUUUUUUUUUUUAGUACAGUUAGAGUAUCUUUGGAUGUGUUGUUACUAUAUUUGAUCAUUGAAUAUGUCUUUUUAUUACUUCUUAAUAGAAGGGACAUCGAUCGUAAUUCGUAAGUAUUUUACUGGUAGAGAUUCUAAGAAUUGUUAAGAGCAUCAUCCUUCUUUUCCCCUUUUGCUGUUGAUUUAUCUUUUGUGCCUUAGACAUAAAACUGCUAGCUUUAAGUCUAGCAACCGAAUGCAUGUAAAACAUCCAUUUUCAUCCUUUGUUUUGGAGUUAUAUAUUGUAUUUCAGUUUUAUUUUGUUCUGAAAAAGCAAAAGAGAAUGAAUUGAUUAUAUUUGGACCAUUUCUCGAUUUGUGCAUGUCAUUAUUGCUCGCUAAUCUUCUCCUUUCUUAUUUUAUCGAAUGUCCCCAAAGGAAUGAAUCGACUAUAUUUUUUUUUUUUGGCAAUCCGCUAGGCAAGCGCCUAGGGCUAGUUUUCUUUUAUUAAUAAAUGAAAAUAAAAGUACAGCAAUUAGGAACAGUACAAAUAAGGGGGACAAUAGCACCGGUAUUGUUACCUAUAUGCCUUGACUAUAUAAUCACUCCUCUGCGCCUCACAUUGCGUUAAGAUGACAGCCUCAUGUAGAGGUGUAGCUGCCGGCAAUGUCUCACGAGGGCAUAUAAUCUCAUAGUCGUGUGGAUAUUUUUCCAAAGGCAUAGAACCAAGGUAACUCAAACCGGGCUAAACCUUACCUUACUAAUCCUAUUGAGGCUUUAAAUAGCCUCACCUACUAACAUGCAUGUAAAAAAUAAGAACUGGAAAGUACCAAAUAUUCAAUGAUCAUCACAGAGUUUAUAACAUAAUCUGUGAUGAUAUUACAAAUGAGAAUACUAAUAUAAUGGUAGAAUAAAAUGAUGAAGGAAUUAAAAUGUUGUCCCUUCUUGUCCGAACUUGUAAUUUCUUCAAUUUGGAGCUCUUUUUCAUCACAAUCCCAAUUGUUCAAGAUGUAUUCAAAAUUCAUGAUUUCUUGUUUGAACGAUUGGACUUUGUAGAUGUAGUUGGGGCGGCCUUCUUUUGUUUGGCAACUCUCAUUGGAGGUCGCCUAACAUUUAAAAAAUCACUAACCUUGUCGUCCCAACUAAAUUUCCUUGUAUGAGUCCUCUUACCUUUGCCGCUAUGCAUUGGUGAUAGAUCCCCUUUUCUUGCUGCCUCUACUCUACAGUGUUGUAACAUUGCUUCUUCCUCUCCGUCUUCAUACAAGUCUCUCUCCAGGUGCACAGGUUGUUGAACAUUUUGGUCGAUAACAAUUGUUUCCAAUGCAGAUUGACCUUGUGUAUUUGUCACCAUUGCCUUGCUUUGAUGUUGUUCUAUUUUUUGCAAUUUGUUCUUGCUCAUACUCAACAUUCCAGUGCUAGAAGCAGUAGGAUUUACAGGAUUUAAGGGAUUAGAACUCACCAUUGCAUCCAAGAGUCUUCUUUCCUCUGAAAUAUCUGGGAUGGUUGUAACAAUUUGGUUCUGUCCAGAAUUUGUUGUUGUGACUUCUCGAUCACGUAGAUGAGUAGUAGCAGUAUUUGUAACAUUUGAAGUGUUGGGAAUAACUUGUUGCUGUUGCACAAUAGUUGUAGGUGUUCCAGCUACUGCAUUUUGAAUAGCUGGAGAUGAAGGACUUUUGGGAAUGAAAGCAGGAGCAUUGGAGUUCAAAUUGCUCAUUGGACUGGCUGCUGGCAUUCUUUCAGAUUUUACCAUCGCUAAGGAAGCAAUCUCCUCACUUGCACUAUCAUGAUUAGCCUCACGCUCAGCUUCUUCUAAUGAAUAACUAGCAAAACCAUCUCCCCAAUCCUCUUCAUCAUCAUCAUCUUCCCGUUGAUCUAGCCAAAAUUUGGACUUGAUAGCCAUCAACCUCAAAUUUCCUUGUGGAACUUCAUUGUUAUUCCCGUUGAUAACAUAAGUAGCCCAGUUUCACCUUCAACCCCUCUACAAGAUUCCAUUGACUGCGAAGGAACCUCAAAAAAAGAUUUGUUUAAGGUGACCAAAGGUUGUUUGACCAUGAGAUUGUUUAUCAUCAUUUCUUUUUGAACAUCUUUAAUGAUUUGUUCAACCUGUGGAUUAGAGAAGUGCAAUGUAUGUGCAUUGGAGCUGUGUACCUCUGCAUUUUGCGCAUCAACAGGAACACUGUCCUUCGAAGUAAUGAGUCGUUCACCUGUGUUCUUGGACUUUUGUUGUUGU
This 2787-nucleotide long non-coding RNA is filed under the name Nicotiana tabacum (common tobacco). Its description in RNAcentral is "long non-coding RNA (NTAB_LNC003220)". The record is from RNAcentral. Lineage: Eukaryota; Viridiplantae; Streptophyta; Magnoliopsida; Solanales; Solanaceae.